GAUGAAGAACGCAGCGAAAUGCGAUACUUGGUGUGAAUUGCAGAAUCCCGUGAACCAUCGAGUCUUUGAACGCAAGUUGCGCCCGAAGCCACUAGGCCGAGGGCACGCCUGCCUGGGCGUCACACGCCGUUGCCCCCCCAUCUACUCCUUCGGGAUUGCGGGGGGGCGGAUGAUGGCCUCCCGUGCGCCUAGCCGCGCGGUUGGCAUAAAUACCAAGUCCUCGGCGACGCACGCCACGACAAUCGGUGGUUGCGAAACCUCGGUUGCCCGUCGUGUGCGUUCGUCGCGCAUCGAGGGCUCGAAAAAAUGCUCGGCUCCGGCUGGGCUUUCAACGCGACCCCAGGUCAGGCGGGGUUACCCGCUGAAUUUAAGCAUAUCAAUAAGCGGAAGGA
Molecule: unclassified non-coding RNA, 392 nt
Filed under: soil metagenome
Description: partial contains 5.8S ribosomal RNA, internal transcribed spacer 2, and large subunit ribosomal RNA
Rfam family: 5.8S ribosomal RNA (bases 1-122)
Source: RNAcentral